This 587-nucleotide ribosomal RNA is filed under the name uncultured bacterium. RNAcentral describes it as "bacterial SSU rRNA". It matches the Rfam family "Bacterial small subunit ribosomal RNA", at positions 338 to 917 of the family's 1533-position model. The record is from RNAcentral.
CCUACGGGAGGUAGCAGUGGGGAAUAUUGGACAAUGGGGGCAACCCUGAUCCAGCCAUGCCGCGUGUGUGAAGAAGGCCCUCGGGUUGUAAAGCACUUUCAGCGAGGAAGAACGCCUAGCGGUUAAUACCCGCUAGGAAAGACAUCACUCGCAGAAGAAGCACCGGCUAACUCCGUGCCAGCAGCCGCGGUAAUACGGAGGGUGCAAGCGUUAAUCGGAAUUACUGGGCGUAAAGCGCGCGUAGGUGGCUUGAUAAGCCGGUUGUGAAAGCCCCGGGCUCAACCUGGGAACGGCAUCCGGAACUGUCAAGCUAGAGUGCAGGAGAGGAAGGUAGAAUUCCCGGUGUAGCGGUGAAAUGCGUAGAGAUCGGGAGGAAUACCAGUGGCGAAGGCGGCCUUCUGGACUGACACUGACACUGAGGUGCGAAAGCGUGGGUAGCAAACAGGAUUAGAUACCCUGGUAGUCCACGCCGUAAACGAUGUCGACCAGCCGUUGGGUGCCUAGCGCACUUUGUGGCGAAGUUAACGCGAUAAGUCGACCGCCUGGGGAGUACGGCCGCAAGGUUAAAACUCAAAUGAAUUGACGGA